Molecule: ribosomal RNA, 252 nt
Filed under: uncultured bacterium
Lineage: Bacteria
Description: partial 16S ribosomal RNA
Rfam family: Bacterial small subunit ribosomal RNA
Source: RNAcentral
CGGGGUGAGUAACGCGUGGGCAACCUGCCUUACACAGGGGGAUAACACUUAGAAAUAGGUGCUAAUACCGCAUAAGCGCACAGCUUUGCAUGAAGCAGUGUGAAAAACUCCGGUGGUGUAAGAUGGACCCGCGUCUGAUUAGCUGGUUGGCAGGGUAAAGGCCUACCAAGGCGACGAUCAGUAGCCGGCCUGAGAGGGUGAACGGCCACAUUGGGACUGAGACACGGCCCAGACUCCUACGGGAGGCAGCAG